AGCGUGGAGACAGGUGGUGCAUGGCUGUCGUCAGCUCGUGUCGUGAGAUGUUGGGUUAAGUCCCGCAACGAGCGCAACCCUCACCCCUAGUUGCCACCGGGUUAAGCCGAGCACUCAAGGGGAACUGCCAGCGUCAAGCUGGAGGAAGGCGGGGAUGACGUCAAGUCAUCAUGCCCCUUACGCCCUGGGCUACACACGUGCUACAAUGGCCAGUACAAAGGGACGCGAGACUGCGAAGUGGAGCUAAUCCCAAAAAGCUGGUCUAAGUUCAGAUUGCAGUCUGCAACUCGUCUGCAUGAAGGAGGAAUCGCUAGUAAUCGCGUAUCAGCCCGGCGCGGUGAAUACGUUCCCGGGCCUUGUACACACCGCCCGUCACACCACGAAAGCUGUCUGUACUCGAAGUCGCUGAG
This 410-nucleotide ribosomal RNA is filed under the name uncultured Methylomirabilota bacterium. RNAcentral describes it as "bacterial SSU rRNA". It matches the Rfam family "Bacterial small subunit ribosomal RNA", at positions 1025 to 1434 of the family's 1533-position model. Lineage: Bacteria; Methylomirabilota (SeqCode). The record is from RNAcentral.